This 503-nucleotide ribosomal RNA is filed under the name uncultured bacterium. RNAcentral's name for it is "partial 16S ribosomal RNA". It matches the Rfam family "Bacterial small subunit ribosomal RNA", at positions 30 to 523 of the family's 1533-position model. The record is from RNAcentral.
AUUGAACGCUGGCGGCAGGCUUAACACAUGCAAGUCGAGCGGGGUGAUGGUGCUUGCACUAUCACUUAGCGGCGGACGGGUGAGCAAUGCUUAGGAAUCUGCCUAUUAGUGGGGGAUAACAUCUCGAAAGGGAUGCUAAUACCGCAUACGUCCUACGGGAGAAAGCAGGGGAUCACUUGUGACCUUGCGCUAAUAGAUGAGCCUAAGUCGGAUUAGCUAGUUGGUGGGGUAAAGGCCUACCAAGGCGACGAUCUGUAGCGGGUCUGAGAGGAUGAUCCGCCACACUGGGACUGAGACACGGCCCAGACUCCUACGGGAGGCAGCAGUGGGGAAUAUUGGACAAUGGGGGGAACCCUGAUCCAGCCAUGCCGCGUGUGUGAAGAAGGCCUUAUGGUUGUAAAGCACUUUAAGCGAGGAGGAGGCUCUUUUGGUUAAUACCCAAGAUGAGUGGACGUUACUCGCAGAAUAAGCACCGGCUAACUCUGUGCCAGCAGCCGCAGUAA